ACGGGAGGCAGCAGUGAGGAAUAUUGGUCAAUGGCCGGAAGGCUGAACCAGCCAAGUCGCGUGAGGGAAUAAGGCCCUACGGGUCGUAAACCUCUUUUGUCAGGGAGCAAGGCCGCCCACGUGUGGACGGAAGGAGAGUACCUGGAGAAAAAGCAUCGGCUAACUCCGUGCCAGCAGCCGCGGUAAUACGGAGGAUGCGAGCGUUAUCCGGAUUUAUUGGGUUUAAAGGGUGCGUAGGCGGCCUGCCAAGUCAGCGGUAAAAUUGCGGGGCUCAACCCCGUACAGCCGUUGAAACUGCCGGGCUCGAGUGGGCGAGAAGUAUGCGGAAUGCGUGGUGUAGCGGUGAAAUGCAUAGAUAUCACGCAGAACCCCGAUUGCGAAGGCAGCAUACCGGCGCCCUACUGACGCUGAGGCACGAAAGUGCGGGGAUCAAACAGGAUUAGAUACCCUGGUAGUCCGCACAGUAAACGAUGAAUGCUAGC
Molecule: ribosomal RNA, 482 nt
Filed under: uncultured bacterium
Lineage: Bacteria
Description: bacterial SSU rRNA
Rfam family: Bacterial small subunit ribosomal RNA
Source: RNAcentral